RNAcentral lists this ribosomal RNA (276 nucleotides) under uncultured alveolate. Its description in RNAcentral is "partial Bacterial small subunit ribosomal RNA". It matches the Rfam family "Bacterial small subunit ribosomal RNA", at positions 1 to 270 of the family's 1533-position model. The record is from RNAcentral.
UGGAGUUUGAUCCUGGCUCAGAAUGAACGCUAGCGGCGUGGAUUAGGCAUGCAAGUCGCACGAGAAAGUGCCUUCGGGUGCGAGUAAAGUGGCGAACGGGUGAGUAAGGCGUAAAUGACCUACCUCGAUGACGGGGAUAACAGCUCGAAAGGGCUGCUAAUACCGGAUGUGCUCACGGGCUUGAGGGUUUGUGAGUAAAGAUGGCCACUGUUUCAAGCUGUCGCAUCGAGAGGGGUUUACGUACUAUUAGCUUGUUGGUGGGGUAAUGGCCUACCA